Oryza sativa Japonica Group (Japanese rice) is the source of this 1103-nucleotide non-coding RNA. NCBI's taxonomy places the organism in Eukaryota, Viridiplantae, Streptophyta, Magnoliopsida, Poales, Poaceae. The record is from RefSeq and is a predicted model, not a curated record.
AGAAAAAGUAAGCCCAGACAAAGUCUACUUUACCUCCCCGGUACUGUUCAUCUUCCAGCUCCAGACAGAGCCCGAGCCAGCCGUCCCGAGAUUGUGCAGCGCCGUUUUCUCCUCCAAAUCUAGUCUCCUCUCUCGUGUUAUUUCAAAAUUAGUUGAGGGGAAAUAUUCCUCUUAUGCUUCUCUAUCUUUUUCCCCCAAGAAUCGGACUUUAUCCCGAAGAAAUCAACGCGGAAUCGAGCUCGAUUCGUGUUUAUCUCUCCACCAAACCCUAGGUUUUCCUGGCGCGAUUCCUUGCGUUCCAAGCGCGAUCUCUCUCUCCCAUGGCUAUAAAUAGAGUCCCCUCCCUCUCCUCUUUCGGCCGCCACCUCUCCCUCUCUCCGCCGUCGCUUGUAGCGCCGUCGCCGCGUUCGUCUUCUCUCUCCGCCGCCCGCAGCCGCUCCAGCCGCCGUUUGCCGCCGCCUCGGCCGUCGCCCUCCUGUGCCGCCACCUCUCUCGGCUCCGCAAGGUCAAGAGCAAGCCCGGCAGCCGGUUCCCUUGCGCCGAAGACCCCGGGAAGCCCAUCGUCGCCAUCAACCCGAAGCUCGCCGUCGUGUUUUGAUCUCCGGCGAGGCUCUGCAGCUCCUCCCGUCAUCGCCAAGCUUCGCCGCCGCCUCCAUUGGAUUCGCAGCCGCGAAGUGAAGCCCGGCCACCCCUCCAUUGUCGCCGAAGGUCGCCGAAACACCGUCGCCGCCGUGGACAGUACCUCGCUGCCAUCUCGAUCUCGUCGCCGGCCAUCUUCCGUCACUGUCUGUCAUCACGUAAGUGUUGCGCGUUGUCAUCUCCGUGUGUUGCUGUCGGAACGUUGUCAUCAUCCCUUCCUCUCCGAUCGCUUUGGUUCGGUGCGACUUCUAUCCGUUCUCUCUUUUCAAUGCUUGUCGUUUCCGUUGUUGCGAAGGUUCGCGAGUGUGUUGGAAGUGGUUCUGAAGACUAAUUGAAGACUGAUUAUUGCAAGGCAAGUCACACAGAUCCCAAACAUGAUUCCUUUGAGCAUGUUGAUCCUAUAUUUAAAUUCUCUAUUUAUUUCAACAAUGCAUUUAUUUUCGAAUGUCACCGGGUGGUGUGAA